GAUGAACGCUGGCGGCGUGCUUAACACAUGCAAGUCGAACGAGAAAUGUAGACGGAAACCUUCGGGCGGAAGCCUUCAUUUCGAGUGGCGGGCGGGUGAGUAACGCGUGGGUAACCUGCCUCAUACAGGGGGAUAACAGUUUGAAACGACUGUUAAUACCGCAUAAGACCACAGCAUCGCAUGAUGCGGGGGUAAAAACUCCGGUGGUAUGAGAUGGACCCGCGUUCGAUUAGCCAGUUGGCGGGGUAACGGCCCACCAAAGCGACGAUCGAUAGCCGAUCUGAGAGGAUGACCGGCCACAUUGGGACUGAGACACGGCCCAAACUCCUACGGGAGGCAGCAGUGGGGAAUAUUGGACAAUGGGGGAAACCCUGAUGCAGCGACGCCGCGUGAGUGAAGAAGUACUUCGGUAUGUAAAGCUCUAUCAGCAGGGAAGAAAAUGACGGUACCUGAGUAAGAAGCCCCGGCUAACUACGUG
Molecule: ribosomal RNA, 478 nt
Filed under: uncultured bacterium
Lineage: Bacteria
Description: partial 16S ribosomal RNA
Rfam family: Bacterial small subunit ribosomal RNA
Source: RNAcentral